This 448-nucleotide long non-coding RNA is filed under the name Actinidia chinensis (golden kiwifruit). RNAcentral describes it as "long non-coding RNA (ACHI_LNC005436)". Lineage: Eukaryota; Viridiplantae; Streptophyta; Magnoliopsida; Ericales; Actinidiaceae. The record is from RNAcentral.
UUUUCCGAUUCUCAUAGAAGCAUCUAUUGUCCCCACAUAAAACUACAUAAAUAAAUAAAAAUAUCCAACUCAUGCCAUUGGGACGCGUUUGGCAAAGCAUCUAAUAAUUGAAAAUUCCUCCUCCAAGUCAUUGUUUAUAGAACUUUCAAAGUAGGUGUUCCCUUGAUUUCAACUUUGUGCCUAAAAUCCACUCUAUAUAUAUAUGGGUCAUUACCAUACCCUCGAAUCACCACCAUCAAUUCCUUCUAUCCCUCCCCACAAAAGAAAUCUCUCUCUCUCUCUCUCUCUUCUCUCUCUCUCUCUCUCUCUUCUCUACUCUUCUCUCUCAUCCAAAAAAUCCCUCUAGAUGGUAGAAAUGGACUCAGACCGUCGCCAAAAGCAAAAGAAAUGGGCACUAUAUAUUAUAGCAUUUAUCAUUUUUCAGACCGGUAUCAUUGUGCUCUUCACA